CCUGGGGAAAGGAGGUAGGCGGUGAUCUUAGGCAAAUCCGGGAUCACUUACGCCGAGCACCGAGACGAGUCCUAUGAGGACGAAGUGACUGACACCACGCUUCCAGGAAAAGCCACUAAGCUUCAGCUUAAGAAAAACCGUACCGCAAACCGACACAGGUAGGCAGGGUGAGAAUCCCAAGGCGCUUGAGAGAACUCGGGUGAAGGAACUAGGCAAAAUGGCACCGUAACUUCGGGAGAAGGUGCGCCCUUUGGUGUGGUCACGUGCGUGACUGAGCAUCGAAGGGUCGCAGUAACCUGGCCGCUGCGACUGUUUAUCAAAAACACAGCACUCUGCAAACACGAAAGUGGACGUAUAGGGUGUGACGCCUGCCCGGUGCUGGAAGGUUAAUUGAUGGGGUCAGCCGCAAGGCGAAGCUCUUGAUCGAAGCCCCAGUAAACGGCGGCCGUAACUAUAACGGUCCUAAGGUAGCGAAAUUCCUUGUCGGGUAAGUUCCGACCUGCACGAAUGGCGUAACGACAGCGGCGCUGUCUCCACCCGAGACUCAGUGAAAUUGAAAUCGCUGUGAAGAUGCAGCGUUCCCGCGGCAAGACGGAAAGACCCCGUGAACCUUUACUAUAGCUUUACACUGAACGUUGAGUUCUUCUGUGUAGGAUAGGUGGGAGGCUAUGAAACCAGGACGCUAGUUCUGGUGGAGCCAUCCUUGAAAUACCACCCUGAAGUGCUUGACGUUCUAACCUAGGCCCGUAAUCCGGGUCAGGGACCGUGUAUGGUGGGUAGUUUGACUGGGGCGGUCUCCUCCCAAAGAGUAACGGAGGAGCACGAAGGUACGCUCAGCGCGGUCGGACAUCGCGCACUGUGUGCAAAGGCAUAAGCGUGCUUGACUGCGAGAUCGACGGAUCAAGCAGGUACGAAAGUAGGUCUUAGUGAUCCGGUGGUUCUGUAUGGAAGGGCCAUCGCUCAACGGAUAAAAGGUACUCCGGGGAUAACAGGCUGAUACCGCCCAAGAGUUCAUAUCGACGGCGGUGUUUGGCACCUCGAUGUCGGCUCAUCACAUCCUGGGGCUGUAGCCGGUCCCAAGGGUAUGGCUGUUCGCCAUUUAAAGUGGUACGCGAGCUGGGUUCAGAACGUCGUGAGACAGUUCGGUCCCUAUCUGUCGUGGGCGUUGGAGAUUUGAGGGGGGCUGCUCCUAGUACGAGAGGACCGGAGUGGACGUUCCGCUGGUGUUCGGGUUGUCAUGCCCAUGGCAUUGCCCGGUAGCUACGAACGGAAGUGAUAACCGCUGAAAGCAUCUAAGCGGGAAGCACGCCCCAAGAUGAGAUCUCCCGAGAGCUUGACUCUCCUAAAGGCACCAUCAAGACUAGGUGGUUGAUAGGUCAGGUGUGGAAGCGCAGCAAUGCGUUGAGCUAACUGAUACUAAUGAGCCGUGAGGCUUGACCU
RNAcentral lists this ribosomal RNA (1440 nucleotides) under metagenome. RNAcentral describes it as "bacterial LSU rRNA". It matches the Rfam family "Bacterial large subunit ribosomal RNA", at positions 1506 to 2925 of the family's 2925-position model. The record is from RNAcentral.